AAGGCUGGUCAAGGUGAUAGUGGAGGAUGAGAAAAACUCAAAAUGGUUAAUGCAGGAUGGCAAAGAUGAGAACUAGUUGUAGCCCCCAGACCAACCAUAGCAAUGGGGGCUGCAGUUCCUCCUACUAAGCUUUGACUUCUACACUUCCCUUUAAGGAAAGAGGCCCACAGAACCAUGAAGAAGUUAGCUCCAGACUGACAUGAAGAAGUCAAUCUGUGUGAGGCAAAAUUUAAACUUUGGUGGGAGUGAAAAUGCACUACUCAGGACUCCUGCUCCUGGAGACAGAGUUAUCAGAUGGUCCCAGCUGCUGCAUCCACUGCUGAGCUCUGAAGCCACACUUCUGCUGGCUGCUCUAGCUAGCUAUGGAUGGGAAUGGUACAAGGGCAAGGCCAUCCCCCUCUUGCUGAGGUGUGGGAAGACAUCAAGUGGUACUUUAAACACUCUGUGAUUUUUCAAGAUCUGAGAUGUCAAUAAAGCAGCAUACACUUUACACAUGUACUCCAAUGUCAGUCCAAACUAGGAACCAACAAUGAUGAAAUAACAAAAAGGAAAACCCUACCAUUUUUUAAAAUCUUCACUUAAAAUAUUACUAACAAGCAGGUGAAAACCCAGCACCAGCGUUGUUCUUCAAA
Long non-coding RNA from Canis lupus familiaris (dog), 632 nucleotides. RefSeq lists it as uncharacterized. The transcript has 3 exons. The record is from RefSeq and is a predicted model, not a curated record. Lineage: Eukaryota; Metazoa; Chordata; Mammalia; Carnivora; Canidae.